UACGUGAGUGGCAAGCGUUAUCCGGAAUCAUUGGGCGUAAAGCGUCUGUAGGGGGGCACAUAAGUGGAGUGUCAAAGACUUUGGCUUAACCAAAGAAUCGCAUUUCAUACUGUGUGUCUUGAAGAAGGUAGGGGCAAAUGGAAUUCCCGGUGUAGGGGUUAUAUCCGUAGAUAUCGGGAGGAACACCAAUAGCGAAGGCAAUUUGCUGGGCCUUUCUUGACCCUCAGAGACGAAAGCGUGGGGAGCGAACCGG
This 253-nucleotide ribosomal RNA is filed under the name uncultured bacterium. RNAcentral describes it as "partial 16S ribosomal RNA". It matches the Rfam family "Bacterial small subunit ribosomal RNA", at positions 524 to 776 of the family's 1533-position model. The record is from RNAcentral.